Molecule: transfer RNA, 72 nt
Filed under: Ictidomys tridecemlineatus (thirteen-lined ground squirrel)
Lineage: Eukaryota; Metazoa; Chordata; Mammalia; Rodentia; Sciuridae
Description: Spermophilus tridecemlineatus (thirteen-lined ground squirrel) tRNA
Rfam family: tRNA
About the family: Transfer RNA (tRNA) molecules are approximately 80 nucleotides in length. Their secondary structure includes four short double-helical elements and three loops (D, anti-codon, and T loops).
Source: Rfam by way of RNAcentral
UGGGGUGUAACUCAGUGGUAGAGUACCUGCCUCACACAUGUGAGAAACUGGGUUCGAUUCUCAGCAUCACAU